CCUGUUACACUUUGCUGCAUAGUUACAGAUGACCCUUAUCAGUUUUUCAGGGCCAAGACGUUCAUCACAGUUUCAUAGCACAUCAGGAUCCAUCUGGUUUUAAAAGGACUGAAGUUGUAAUCUAAUCACAACACAAGGAACACAAGCGAUACUAUUUUCCUUAUCACUGGCGACACUGCUAUAGCAUUACAUCCCACUUCAAGUACCAUGGCAACAGCCUAUGGAAUUCGGGAUUGGCAGUUUAGUGAGGAGGAGCAUUCAGAAUUCUCUGCCAGAGCUCUUGGGCCUCAUGGAACCACAAGCCCAGAGUGCCACAGAGUGUUGUUAUGGCAGCUCAAGCAGAAUAACAGUGCUACACCAGUGAAGUGUGCUAAAGGUCAUAAUACCAGGCACCUCUGCCCAGCUAGGAAGGCUUAAAUAUAAUACUGUGGUGUGUAUAAAUGAACUGUGUUUUAUGCCUCGACCUUCCUUUUUAUGUGUGUGUGUGUGUGCAUGUGUAUGUAUGUACACACACACACACAUAUACACACAUAGUAUACAUAUAACUAAACUAUACAUACAUAUACAGACAGUUUCCCAGGUUACAAACAAGAUAGGUUCUAUGUUUGUUCUUAAGUUGAAUUUGUUUGUCAGUUGGAACAGGUACAUUUUUAAAGUAAUUCCAGCCAAUAUAAAAGCUUUAGAUAGUCUAGAGAAGGGUUAACACCCUGUGGUAUGUGUUUUGCUGUCUGUUCAUGUUCAGAAAAUUAGAUUAUAGGAUUGUGACCUGUUGGUAUUGGGUUAUCUAGAAAUCAUUCAUGCAUUUUCAAUGUGGGAUAGUUUAUGUAGUUAGUUUUGUUUGAUGCUUAGUAACCUGAAGCCAGAGCUGCAUUCCAGAGUUGAUGGCACCAUUUUAGGGGUUUUGCAUGUGAUGUGGGAAAUGGGAGUAUACUUCCUGGAGACAUACAGGAAGUUACAUAUGCAUUUAGAAGUUGGGGCAUAAAAGGGGAGACCUUCUUUUGUUCUCUCUCUUCCUGCCUCUUGAUUCUGCCAUGCUGCCUGCUGAUGUUACUUCUUGUUAAGAGAUAUGUAGUAUCCUGAGAUGUAUUCUUUUGGAACUAAGAUGUUUUUACCUGUAUGACCAUCAUCAUACAAGAUUAACCUGCAACAGGAUUUUCCAGGGAAUGAGAUUCCAGAUUAGAGCACCAGCCAGCCUUCCCGCAAUCUAUGCCCAGUCUUCAAUGCACUAUAUAAUUAUUAUCCCACCAUCUUUCUGCUUAGACAGAUAUCAUUUGGUGGAAGUACCUGAAGCAGGAACAAGGAAUAAGACUAUAUCUGGUCAUAAUCGUGUUGGGUUUUGGGUUCGGGUUCUGCAGCCUGGAGUUCAUGUUACCUGAGAAUCUUUGACUUGGACUGACUUCUCGUGAGUGUGGCUUUCUCCCUCCCUGGAUUGUGGACUGACUUGAUGAUGACUUUGUUUGACGGAAACGACGUAUCCUUUGGCUUUCUUCGGCGACGACUCUUAGACUACGGCUGGCUUUGACAACUCCUUCUUUCAGUUAGCUCUUUGGGGCAGCGCUGUCUGUUGGAACUCUUGUGUAUUGCGCUGCUUGUUUGCUGGUUACUUUGACUGCUUUUUAAUCCAGUUUUUCCUCCUGUUUAACCCGGAUUAUUUUCUGUUUGCCUUUUGGAGCCCAGUUUGGGUAAAUUCUUUGAGUUUUGGCCAGAGACACUGAAACUAAGUGUCUCUGAGCUUUUAUUUGUUUUUUGCAAUAAACCUUUUGUUGGACUAAAUAGUGUGUGUGGCUCUUUAAGGCCUCUGUGUCUCAACAGGGUUGGUUUAACCUCCGGUUUGCUAGUAAAAUUAAAUUACUGUGUCACAAAAUGAUGCAUGUCUAAAAAGUAUGUCACCAACAUGAAAUGUUUGGAAAGCUCUGCUGUAACAUGUAGCUUUGAUUCAGUAGCUCUCCCGCCAAGUAACUCUGAAAUUAUGCUGUACUAUUAAAAUCAAUAAAGGUCCUUUGCCAGUA
This is a long non-coding RNA of Anolis carolinensis (green anole), 2009 nucleotides long. RefSeq lists it as uncharacterized. The record is from RefSeq and is a predicted model, not a curated record. NCBI's taxonomy places the organism in Eukaryota, Metazoa, Chordata, Lepidosauria, Squamata, Anolidae. The transcript is spliced from 2 exons.